RNAcentral lists this ribosomal RNA (253 nucleotides) under uncultured bacterium. RNAcentral describes it as "partial 16S ribosomal RNA". It matches the Rfam family "Bacterial small subunit ribosomal RNA", at positions 524 to 776 of the family's 1533-position model. The record is from RNAcentral.
UACGGGGGGGGCAAGCGUUGUUCGGAAUUACUGGGUGUAAAGGGCGCGUAGGCGGUUGGAUAAGUCAGCUGUGAAAACCACGGGCUUAACUCGUGGCCUGCAGUUGAGACUGUCUGACUUGAGUGUGGGAGAGGAGAGUGGAAUUCCUGGUGUAGCGGUGAAAUGCGUAGAUAUCAGGAGGAACACCGGUGGCGAAGGCGGCUCUCUGGACCACAACUGACGCUGAGGCGCGAAAGCUAGGGGAGCAAACAGG